RNAcentral lists this ribosomal RNA (490 nucleotides) under uncultured bacterium. RNAcentral's name for it is "partial 16S ribosomal RNA". It matches the Rfam family "Bacterial small subunit ribosomal RNA", at positions 28 to 507 of the family's 1533-position model. The record is from RNAcentral.
GAUGAACGCUAGCUACAGGCUUAACACAUGCAAGUCGAGGGGCAGCAUGGUCUUAGCUUGCUAAGGCCGAUGGCGACCGGCGCACGGGUGAGUAACACGUAUCCAACCUGCCGUCUACUCUUGGACAGCCUUCUGAAAGGAAGAUUAAUACAAGCUGGCAUCAUGAGUCCGCAUGUUCACAUGAUUAAAGGUAUUCCGGUAGACGAUGGGGAUGCGUUCCAUUAGAUAGUAGGCGGGGUAACGGCCCACCUAGUCUUCGAUGGAUAGGGGUUCUGAGAGGAAGGUCCCCCACAUUGGAACUGAGACACGGUCCAAACUCCUACGGGAGGCAGCAGUGAGGAAUAUUGGUCAAUGGGCGCAGGCCUGAACCAGCCAAGUAGCGUGAAGGAUGACUGCCCUAUGGGUUGUAAACUUCUUUUAUAAAGGAAUAAAGUCGGGUAUGUAUACCCGUUUGCAUGUACUUUAUGAAUAAGGAUCGGCUAACUCCGUG